GGAGAUAGCUGCUAUGAGUAUCCGAUUAAGCCAUGCAAGUCUAGUAGCAAUACUGGCGAACUGCUCAGUAACACGUCGGUAACCUGCCCUACGGUCAAGCAUAACCCUCGGGAAACUGAGGGUAAUUCUUGAUAGGUGAUUACGCCUGGAAUGGUGUAUCACUCAAACACGUGCCGUAGGAUGGGCCGGCGGCUGAUUAGGCUGUUGGUGGGGUAAUGGCCCACCAAACCUAAGAUCAGUACGGGCCUUGAGAGAGGUAGCCCGGAGAGGGACACUGAGAUACGGGUCCCAGCCCCACGGGGUGCAGCAGGCGCGAAACCUUUACAAUGCACGAAAGUGUGAUAGGGGGAUACUCAGUGCUUACGGCUAUGCUGUAGGCUUUUGUCGAUCGUAAAUAGAUCGGUGAAUAAGUGGUGGGCAAGACCGGUGCCAGCCGCCGCGGUAACCCCGGCGCCACAAGUGGUUAUCACGAUUAUUGGGCCUAAAGCGUUCGUAGCCGG
RNAcentral lists this ribosomal RNA (500 nucleotides) under uncultured euryarchaeote. RNAcentral's name for it is "bacterial SSU rRNA". It matches the Rfam family "Archaeal small subunit ribosomal RNA", at positions 19 to 528 of the family's 1478-position model. The record is from RNAcentral. Lineage: Archaea; Methanobacteriati; Methanobacteriota.